GAUGAACGCUGGCGGCGUGCUCAACACAUGCAAGUCGAACGGUGAAGGCGGAGCUUGCUCUGCUGGAUCAGUGGCGAACGGGUGAGUAACACGUGAGCAAUCUGCCCCUGACUCUGGGAUAAGCGCUGGAAACGGCGUCUAAUACUGGAUACGAGCUGCGAAGGCAUCUUCAGCAGCUGGAAAGAAUUUCGGUCAGGGAUGAGCUCGCGGCCUAUCAGCUUGUUGGUGAGGUAAUGGCUCACCAAGGCGUCGACGGGUAGCCGGCCUGAGAGGGUGACCGGCCACACUGGGACUGAGACACGGCCCAGACUCCUACGGGAGGCAGCAGUGGGGAAUAUUGCACAAUGGGCGAAAGCCUGAUGCAGCAACGCCGCGUGAGGGACGACGGCCUUCGGGUUGUAAACCUCUUUUAGCAGGGAAGAAGCGAAAGUGACGGUACCUGCAGAAAAAGCGCCGGCUAACUACGUG
Molecule: ribosomal RNA, 468 nt
Filed under: uncultured bacterium
Lineage: Bacteria
Description: partial 16S ribosomal RNA
Rfam family: Bacterial small subunit ribosomal RNA
Source: RNAcentral